GACGAACCGUGCGAACGUUGUUCGGAAUCACUGGGCUUAAAGGGCGCGUAGGCGGGCAAGCAAGUCAGGGGUGAAAGCCCACGGCUCAGCCGUGGAAGUGCCUUUGAUACUGCUGGUCUUGAGGGAGGUAGGGGCGUGCGGAACUUCCGGUGGAGCGGUGAAAUGCGUAGAUAUCGGAAGGAACACCGGUGGCGAAAGCGGCGCGCUGGAUCUCUUCUGACGCUGAGGCGCGAAAGCCAGGGGAGCAAACGGG
RNAcentral lists this ribosomal RNA (253 nucleotides) under uncultured bacterium. RNAcentral describes it as "partial 16S ribosomal RNA". It matches the Rfam family "Bacterial small subunit ribosomal RNA", at positions 524 to 776 of the family's 1533-position model. The record is from RNAcentral.